UUACCGGCAAUGGUGGCUAUGAUGCAGUCGACGAACUCUGGUAUUGAUUGGUGCUUGCAUCAUGAUUUACAUUUGAGUGAGUGGCGAACUGGUGAGUAACACGUGGGAAACCUGCCCAGAAGCGGGGGAUAACACCUGGAAACAGAUGCUAAUACCGCAUAACAACUUGGACCGCAUGGUCCGAGUUUGAAAGAUGGCUUCGGCUAUCACUUUUGGAUGGUCCCGCGGCGUAUUAGCUAGAUGGUGAGGUAACGGCUCACCAUGGCAAUGAUACGUAGCCGACCUGAGAGGGUAAUCGGCCACAUUGGGACUGAGACACGGCCCAAACUCCUACGGGAGGCAGCAGUAGGGAAUCUUCCACAAUGGACGAAAGUCUGAUGGAGCAACGCCGCGUGAGUGAAGAAGGGUUUCGGCUCGUAAAACUCUGUUGUUAAAGAAGAACAUAUCUGAGAGUAACUGUUCAGGUAUUGACGGUAUUUAACCAGAAAGCCACGGCUAACUACGUGCCAGCAGCCGCGGUAAUACGUAGGUGGCAAGCGUUGUCCGGAUUUAUUGGGCGUAAAGCGAGCGCAGGCGGUUUUUUAAGUCUGAUGUGAAAGCCUUCGGCUCAACCGAAGAAGUGCAUCGGAAACUGGGAAACUUGAGUGCAGAAGAGGACAGUGGAACUCCAUGUGUAGCGGUGAAAUGCGUAGAUAUAUGGAAGAACACCAGUGGCGAAGGCGGCUGUCUGGUCUGUAACUGACGCUGAGGCUCGAAAGUAUGGGUAGCAAACAGGAUUAGAUACCCUGGUAGUCCAUACCGUAAACGAUGAAUGCUAAGUGUUGGAGGGUUUCCGCCCUUCAGUGCUGCAGCUAACGCAUUAAGCAUUCCGCCUGGGGAGUACGGCCGCAAGGCUGAAACUCAAAGGAAUUGACGGGGGCCGCACAAGCGGUGGAGCAUGUGGUUUAAUUCGAAGCUACGCGAGAACCUUACCAGGUCUUGACAUACUAUGCAAAUCUAGAGAUAGACGUUCCCUUCGGGACAUGGAUACAGGUGGUGCAUGUUGUCGUCAGCCUCGUGUCGUGAGAUGUUGGCU
Molecule: ribosomal RNA, 1075 nt
Filed under: Lactiplantibacillus plantarum
Lineage: Bacteria; Bacillati; Bacillota; Bacilli; Lactobacillales; Lactobacillaceae
Description: bacterial SSU rRNA
Rfam family: Bacterial small subunit ribosomal RNA
Source: RNAcentral